CAGUAGCCACGGUAAAACGUAGGAGGCAAGCGUUGUUCGGAAUUAUUGGGCGUAAAGGGCUCGCAGGCGGUUUCUUAAGUCUGAUGUGAAAGCCCCCGGCUCAACCGGGGAGGGUCAUUGGAAACUGGGAAACUUGAGUGCAGAAGAGGAGAGUGGAAUUCCACGUGUAGCGGUGAAAUGCGUAGAGAUGUGGAGGAACACCAGUGGCGAAGGCGACUCUCUGGUCUGUAACUGACGCUGAGGAGCGAAAGCGUGGGGAGCGAACAGGAUUAGAUACCCGCGUAGUCCCUGUCUCUUAUAC
Molecule: ribosomal RNA, 301 nt
Filed under: uncultured bacterium
Lineage: Bacteria
Description: partial 16S ribosomal RNA
Rfam family: Bacterial small subunit ribosomal RNA
Source: RNAcentral